This 256-nucleotide ribosomal RNA is filed under the name uncultured bacterium. RNAcentral describes it as "partial 16S ribosomal RNA". It matches the Rfam family "Bacterial small subunit ribosomal RNA", at positions 524 to 776 of the family's 1533-position model. The record is from RNAcentral.
UACGUAGGGUGCAAGCGUUUGUCCGGAAUUAUUGGGCGUAAAGAGCUCGUAGGCGGUUUGUCGCGUCGAAUGUGAAAAACCCGGGGCUCAACCCCGGGCCUGCAUUCGAUACGGGCAGACUAGAGUUCGGUAGGGGAGAUUGGAAUUCCUGGUGUAGCGGUGGAAUGCGCAGAUAUCAGGAGGAACACCAAUGGCGAAGGCAGAUCUCUGGGCCGUAACUGACGCUGAGGAGCGAAAGCAUGGGGGAGCGAACAGG